ACGCUGGCGGCGUGCCUAAUACAUGCAAGUCGAACGGCUUUUCUAUGGAAGCUUGCUUCCACUGAGAAGAUAGUGGCGAACGGGUGAGUAACACGUGGGUAACCUGCCCAUAAGAGGGGGAUAACAUCCGGAAACGGGUGCUAAUACCGCAUAGUUUUCUUGAUCGCAUGAUCGGGAAAGGAAAGACGGCCUUUGUGCUGUCGCUUAUGGAUGGACCCGCGGCGUAUUAGUUAGUUGGUGAGGUAACGGCUCACCAAGACGAUGAUACGUAGCCGACCUGAGAGGGUGAUCGGCCACAUUGGGACUGAGACACGGCCCAAACUCCUACGGGAGGCAGCAGUAGGGAAUCUUCCGCAAUGGACGAAAGUCUGACGGAGCAACGCCGCGUGAGUGAAAGAAGGUUUUCGGAUCGUAAAACUCUGUUGUCAGAGAAGAACAAGUUGGAGAGUAACUGCUCCAGCCUUGACGGUAUCUGACCAGAAAGCCACGGCUAACUACGUGCCAGCCGCGGC
This 512-nucleotide ribosomal RNA is filed under the name uncultured bacterium. RNAcentral describes it as "bacterial SSU rRNA". It matches the Rfam family "Bacterial small subunit ribosomal RNA", at positions 33 to 518 of the family's 1533-position model. The record is from RNAcentral.